RNAcentral lists this ribosomal RNA (253 nucleotides) under uncultured bacterium. RNAcentral's name for it is "partial 16S ribosomal RNA". It matches the Rfam family "Bacterial small subunit ribosomal RNA", at positions 524 to 776 of the family's 1533-position model. The record is from RNAcentral.
GACAGAGGCCUCAAGCGUUAGGCGGAAUCACUGGGCUUAAAGCGUGUGUAGGCGGAUCGUUAAGUGUCUUGUGAAAUCCCACGGCUCACCCGUGGAACUGCUGGGCAUACUGGCGAUCUUGGGCCACUUAGGGGUUACCGGAACAAACGGUGGAGCGGUGAAAUGCGUAGAUAUCGUUUGGAACGCCAAUGGUGAAAACAGGUAACUGGGAGUGUGCCGACGCUGAGACACGAAAGCCAGGGGAGCGAACGGG